CUACGGGGGGCUCCAGUGGGGAAUAUUGGACAAUGGGGGAAACCCUGAUCCAGCAAUGCCGCGUGUGUGAAGAAGGCCUGCGGGUUGUAAAGCACUUUCGGUUGGGAGGACUGCUUCUAGCACUAAUAUUGUUGGAAGUUGACGUUACCUUCAGAAGAAGCACCGGCUAGCUCCGUGCCAGCAGCCGCGGGAAUACGGAGGGUGCAAGCGUUAAUCGGAAUUACUGGGCGUAAAGCGCGCGUAGGCGGCUAGAUCAGUCGGGUGUGAAAGCCCCGGGCUUAACCUGGGAACUGCAUCCGAUACUGUCUAGCUUGAGUACAGGAGAGGAGAGUGGAAUUCCACAUGUAGCGGUGAAAUGCGUAGAUAUGUGGAGGAACACCAAUGGCGAAGGCAGCUCUCUGGCCUGAUACUGACGCUGAGGUGCGAAAGCGUGGGGAGCAAACAGGAUUAGAUACCCUUGUAGUC
RNAcentral lists this ribosomal RNA (465 nucleotides) under uncultured bacterium. RNAcentral's name for it is "partial 16S ribosomal RNA". It matches the Rfam family "Bacterial small subunit ribosomal RNA", at positions 339 to 795 of the family's 1533-position model. The record is from RNAcentral.